UCCCCUUCCUCGGGCGCGGCUCGCUACAGUUCAUGUGGGGCCGGCUCCCGGUAGCCCGCGCUCCCGUGGUGGGCGGCCGGGUUCGGAGAACUAGUUGCGGCCUGCCGCUGCGCCAGCCCUGUCGGAGGGUCCCGUUAGGGUUCCGUGAGUGUGGUUCCCUCGGGCUCCUAGGCCUCGGCUGCAGUCCAGGCCUCGCGCCCGAGCGCUGAGGGCGGCCGCCCCGCGCUGCCGGGAGUCGGUCGCCGAGAAGGUACGGUAGGAUGGAGUUUUACGCUUCCCUUUAAGGGGGGUGGGGAGAGAGUACGGCUCCGGUGCCGGCAGCGCACAUGUCGAGUCCCGUCUACAGCUGGCGUCGCUGACCGCGAGGAAGUGUCGUGCUGGCACCACGGACUCCCUCGGGCGUCUCUGCCAGGUGUCUGGCGCAGCGGCGCGCUGGGCGGCGCUCAGCAACCUGACGCCGAAUCUGUGCUGCACUCACUUGUUCAAUAGCUUAUUAAGAUCUCAAUAAAAAUUAAAGGUUCUGGAGGGUUACUAAGAAUUUAACCCAGCGGCGCUUUGCCACCGAGACUUUUCUAUUUUUUAUUUUAAGACGGUCUAAAUUGUGAGGUUGUCCUCGAACUCGGGCGUGCUCCUGGUUCAGUCUCUGGAAUGGCUGGGAUUACCUGCGCCACCGCUCCCCGCAGUGAUUGACUUUGUCCAAAAGGCUCCAGUGGAAUCUGGCACUGUUUGCUACGAGACCCCGUGAGCAUAGUUAUUUGUGUAUACUAUAGAUAGGCAAGGACAGGCGCACGCUCAGGUAAGGUUAAACCACCACCGUUUUGUACUUAGUUUCUUGGCAUGUUGCACUAAAAUAAUAACUCUUGAGGAGUAAACGCCCUCAUAGAAUUCAAGGGGAAAAAACAUUUGUCACACCAGGUAAAAACUAUUACUGAAAAUUCAGGUCUUAUCCAGGGAAUACCAAAAAAGUGAGAGGAGGAGGACACCGUGCUGUGCGCCUGUAGUCCCAGCUACUCCAAGGCUGAGGGGGAGGAUUUGGAAGCCAGCCUGCCAACACAGCGCAAAAUAGUAAAAAUUUGCCUGGCGCUGCGGUGCAGGCCUGUAAUCCCAAUUAUUCAGGGAGGGAGGCAGAAAUGUUGCAAAUUUGAUGGUAGCCUGGACAAUUUAGCCAGACCCUAUCUGAAAAUACUAAAGAGGGCAGUAGUUUGGGGCUGAGAUUGUGGCUCAGUGGUAGAGCCUUGCCUUGCACUUGUGAGGCACUGGGUUGGAUGCUCAGCACCACAUAAGAAUAAAUAAAUAAGGUAUUGUGUCCAACUACAACUUAAAAGUGGGGGUUACUAGGGCUCAGUAGUAAAAUGCCCUUGGUUUAAUCGCCAGAACAAGAAAAAGAAAGGGGGAGAAAAGGGAGGAAGGAAGGAGACCAAGAGGAUGAGGGGAAAAGGAGAGUUACUCACUUUAGGCUAUAUUUAUCACUGUCAUUCAGAUUCAGAGAUUAAUUAUGCAUUAAGAUACUUAAAAAUUUUUUUUGAUGGACCUUUAUUUUAUUUAUUUAUAUGUGAUGCUGAGAAUUGAACCCAGUGUCUCAAACAGGCACUUUACUACUGAGCUACAACCCAGUCCCUUAAAAAUAUAUUUAAAAUUUUGAUGGUAAUGUUUGGGCUGUAGUGACCUUACAGAGAUAAAUAGACACAGCUAAGUGUCCUUAGGAGCUGCAUUUGAAAUCUUUACUGACUCAGCCAUGUGAAGCAACCAAUCUCUCAGAUUUAUCUAGUUGACCAGGCUUAUUCUCUUAUUACAACAUGACUCAGUACUUC
RNAcentral lists this long non-coding RNA (1811 nucleotides) under Marmota monax (woodchuck). The record is from RNAcentral. Lineage: Eukaryota; Metazoa; Chordata; Mammalia; Rodentia; Sciuridae.